ACAGCCUACAAAAUUGCUAUGAAUCUUUUUUCAAAUGUCUUCAAUAUCUCUGAUGAUCAUCUAGGACACUGUUUCUACACCUCUCCAGAAUGCUGUCUGGGGAAUUCUGGAGUUGAAAUCCACACAUCUUCAAACAGCCAAGGUUGAGAAACACAGCUCUAGGGCCAAUAAAGAGAGCUGGUUCUUGAGGAGCAAGGCAAGGAAGUGCAGUCCUACUGAUUAUCCUGGCACUUUCAGCAGCUUUCAAUAUCAUAGACCAUCAGUUCUUUUGGAGACAAUUUAUAAGUGCUAUUCAUGCCUGGUUGAACAUCUCCCAAGAGUAAUUAUAGUGGAUUUCUAUUUGACCUCAAGAUGUUACCUACAGAAACCUGGGGGUUGUGUACAACUUCAGCUUUGCUCUUCCAGUAUCCACACUCUGAAAAUUAGAGGUAUUUUAAAAAAAAAUGGGAGGAGGGGGAAAGGGGCACUUUGCUCCAAAGCCCCUUAAUCUUAGUAGCACCACUACAUAUCUUUGGUCUCUGAAAAAUCUACUAUAGUUUAACAUCAAGUUGCAGAGAGAAUCUAUUGAUUUAGGUUGCUGCAGUAUGUUAUAGCAAUAACCAAAGCAUAAUGAUUGUAAAAUAACUUGUUCUUUGAACAAGCUGGAAAUAUAUGCUUUAAUAUUAUAACAAAGCAUCCAAAUUAAACCAUUUCUUUUCAAUGUGAAAUCACACCAUAGGAUAUUUUUGACAGCAUGCAUGACCACAUCUUUCCAUAUACCAAAAUAUUUUUUUUCUUAUUCUUAUGCACUGCUAUGAUUUUUAACUUUUCCUUAUUGUAGUAUUUUUGAAUCACAAAUACAUUUCUUAAGAACCCUCUUAAGCAAUUUAUAUUAAGCUGAAUGUACAAUAGCUGAUAACAUUGCUAUAUUAGACAGUAGGGCUUAUCAGCACGUCUCACAUUCAGUGCUUUUAAUGGAUUAAAACAAUGGAAUAAAACAAUUCCUCUAUCCAUAAUUAUUCUGUCUCAGAUACUUUCCUGCAACAAAGGUGGUAGUAUUUAACCACCACCUUAGUUUCAAUAUUCUAAACAGCAACUUCCAUGCUAGGAUGGAUUACAACAUCCAUUCAUGACAAACACAUAGUAGGUGACACACAUAAAGAAUUAAUAUAUAUUAGGCUCUCUUUUUUUUUCCCCAGGUCUUCUUUCUUUAUGUAUACAUUCCCUAUAAGACUUAGAAGCAAACAUCAUAUUUUUUCUCUAGUAUCCCUAACAGUUUCUUUGAUCAAUUUGCUUUAAUGUUGAGAACAUUUACAAACAAACAGUGGAAAUCAUCCAAUUAAAAACAUCAAGAGUCUUUUUCAAACCUUUUGCUGAGUCUAACAUAUUCUAAGUUGACUUUGGGAUGGACUCUCUAUAUUGAUUUGUUGGCUCAAACAAAAUUUUACUAGGACUCUUUAGUUGCUCUGAUUCUUGAGGUUAAUUUCAACUCAAGCAAGAACAACCAGCUUUGGAAUGAUCAGUU
Protobothrops mucrosquamatus (brown spotted pit viper) is the source of this 1504-nucleotide long non-coding RNA. RefSeq lists it as uncharacterized. The transcript is spliced from 3 exons. NCBI's taxonomy places the organism in Eukaryota, Metazoa, Chordata, Lepidosauria, Squamata, Viperidae. The record is from RefSeq and is a predicted model, not a curated record.